AUUGAACGCUGGCGGCAGGCCUAACACAUGCAAGUCGAGCGGAUGAAGGGAGCUUUCUCCUGGCUUCAGCGGCGGACGGGUGAGUAAUGCCUAGGAAUCUGCCUGGUCGUGGGGGAUAACGUCCGUACACGGGCGCUAAUACCGCAUCCGUCCUGAUGGAGAAAGUGGGGGAUCUUCGGACCUCACGCUAUCAGAUGAGCCUAGGUCGGAUUAGCUAGUUGGUUGGGUAAAGGCCUACCAAGGCGACGAUCCGUAACUGGUCUGAGAGGAUGAUCAGUCACACUGGAACUGAGACACGGUCCAGACUCCUACGGGAGGCAGCAGUAGGGAAUAUUGGACAAUGGGCGAAAGCCUGAUCCAGCCAUGCCGCGUGAGUGAAGAAGGUCUUCGGAUUGUAAAGCACUUUAAGUUGGGAGGAAGGGCAGUAAGUGAAUACCUUGAUGUUUUGACGGUACCAACAGAAUAAGCAACGGCUAACUACGUG
RNAcentral lists this ribosomal RNA (484 nucleotides) under uncultured bacterium. RNAcentral describes it as "partial 16S ribosomal RNA". It matches the Rfam family "Bacterial small subunit ribosomal RNA", at positions 30 to 507 of the family's 1533-position model. The record is from RNAcentral.